AGUGAACGCUGGCGGUAGGCCUAACACAUGCCAGUCGAACGGCAGCACAGUAAGAGCUUGCUCUUACGGGUGGCGAGUGGCGGACGGGUGAGGAAUACAUCGGAAUCUACUUUUUCGUGGGGGAUAACGUAGGGAAACUUACGCUAAUACCGCAUACGACCUACGGGUGAAAGCAGUGGAUCUUCGGACCUUGCGCGAUUGAAUGAGCCGCUGUCGGAUUAGCUAGUUGGCGGGGUAAAGGCCCACCAAGUCGACGAUCGGUAGCUGGUCUGAGAGGAUGGUCGGCGACCCUGGAGCGUGGACACGCUCCAGACUCCUACGGGAGGCAGCAGUGGGGAAUAUUGGACAAUGGGCGCAAGCCUGACCCAGCCAUACCGCGUGGGUGAAGAAGGCCUUCGGGUUGUAAAGCCCUUUUGUUGGGAAAGAAAAGCAGCAGGUUAAUACCCCGCUGUUCUGACGGUACCCAAAGAAUAAGCACCGGCUAACUUCGUG
RNAcentral lists this ribosomal RNA (492 nucleotides) under uncultured bacterium. RNAcentral's name for it is "partial 16S ribosomal RNA". It matches the Rfam family "Bacterial small subunit ribosomal RNA", at positions 29 to 507 of the family's 1533-position model. The record is from RNAcentral.